Molecule: non-coding RNA, 74 nt
Organism: Gossypium raimondii (Peruvian cotton)
Lineage: Eukaryota; Viridiplantae; Streptophyta; Magnoliopsida; Malvales; Malvaceae
Source: Rfam
AGGGAUGUAGCGCAGCUUGGUACCGCGUUUGUUUUGGGUACAAAAUGACACGGGUUCAAACCCUGUCAUCCCUA